AUUGAACGCUGGCGGCAUGCUUUACACAUGCAAGUCGAACGGAAGCGCGGGCUUCGGCCUGGCGGCGAGUGGCGAACGGGUGAGUAAUGCAUCGGAACGUGCCCAGUAGUGGGGGAUAGCCUGGCGAAAGCCGGAUUAAUACCGCAUACGACCUGAGGGUGAAAGCGGGGGACCGAAAGGCCUCGCGCUAUUGGAGCGGCCGAUGUCGGAUUAGCUAGUUGGUGGGGUAAAGGCUUACCAAGGCGACGAUCCGUAGCUGGUCUGAGAGGACGACCAGCCACACUGGGACUGAGACACGGCCCAGACUCCUACGGGAGGCAGCAGUGGGGAAUUUUGGACAAUGGGGGCAACCCUGAUCCAGCCAUGCCGCGUGCGGGAAGAAGGCCUUCGGGUUGUAAACCGCUUUUGUUCGGGAAGAAAUCCUCUGGGCUAAUACCCCGGGGGGAUGACGGUACCGGAAGAAUAAGCACCGGCUAACUACGUG
This 484-nucleotide ribosomal RNA is filed under the name uncultured bacterium. RNAcentral's name for it is "partial 16S ribosomal RNA". It matches the Rfam family "Bacterial small subunit ribosomal RNA", at positions 29 to 507 of the family's 1533-position model. The record is from RNAcentral.